This 1167-nucleotide ribosomal RNA is filed under the name Trifarina earlandi. RNAcentral's name for it is "SSU rRNA". It matches the Rfam family "Eukaryotic small subunit ribosomal RNA", at positions 36 to 569 of the family's 1831-position model. The record is from RNAcentral. Lineage: Eukaryota; Foraminifera; Rotaliida; Uvigerinidae.
CUCAAGAUUAAGCCAUGCAAGUGGUUACAUUAACCCGACAGUUUAAAUAAGUGUUCAUUGCUAUCCGCAUAACACGCACAAUGCACAUGUACGCAUAAUACACACACAUACACAUCUGUUAUGCCGUACAAGCAUUAGGCAUAAAUUUUGUUUGCGAUAGUAACAAAAUUUCAGCGUGAAUCACACAUACAUACGCACAGUGAAUCACAGCGAAAUUUUACACAUUUCAACGUAUCACUUACGCAACUGCAGACAGCUGCUUAAUACAGUCACACUUGUCUUGACUUGGCACACCCACACACACAUACACACACACACACACGAUUUCUCUGUAACGCAUAUUCAUACAAGAAGCACAAUUGCGUUACACCGUGACACUUUUUAUCUUUUUUAUGGAUAACUCAGGGAAAGUUUGGCUAAUACGUACGAGUACAUACACACACACACACACACACACUCACACAUAUACACUACUCAGCACUCAAUGGUAAACUUUGAUUUACGCAUAUUUUAUGCGUCUAUCAGUUUAAAGUUUAACCGCAACAUGAGAGACAUUGAGCACGCACGUGUAAUGUGAAUUCGUCUCACGUUACACACCUACGCUGAGCAGACUUUGCGAAGUUUACUUUUGCGAAGCAUGUCAUACAAGCAUCUACAGCAUCAAGUCACAGGGUUGGCAAGUGUAUUUUUGAACCUUCAAAGCAGUCACGCAUACGGAAGAGUAGUUUCUGAUCCCAUAGAAGGAGCACCGUACAAUGAGAGACCGCUCUUAGUUCUAAGGAACGCAGCAGGCGCGUAAAUUGCCCAAUGCUAGUACCCUACAAUCAUACUUUUAUUGCAAUUUACUAUUAUACGCAUUACGACACUAUUUAUAGAUUUAUUUUUAUUCUGUCAUACACACACACAUCCUUGUUCACACGCGUAAAGUAGAAAUUAUAUAUAUCAUGUAUAUUUUAUUUACUGAGGCAGUGACAAGCUGUAACGGUUGAGUAUAAAAAUGACGAGUGUCUGGCAUUGCCGCUCUUUCGGGAGCUUGGCAAGUUGCCGACGCUUUGUGUGCUCAAUUGGAAUGCGGUGAGUUUAAGCAACUCAGAACCUUUUAACGGUGUUACGUAAAAAUUUCACUGUUGAUGUAUCUGAAUUUCAAGUGGAGGGCAAGUCUGGUGC